ACAGGUCUCUGCGAAGUCGUAAGACGAUGUAUAGGGACUGACGCCUGCCCGGUGCCGGAAGGUUAAGGGGAUUUGUUAGUCGUAAGGCGAAGCUUUGAACCGAAGCCCCGGUAAACGGCGGCCGUAACUAUAACGGUCCUAAGGUAGCGAAAUUCCUUGUCGGGUAAGUUCCGACCUGCACGAAUGGCGUAACGAUCCGUGCGCUGUCUCAACGAGGGACUCAGUGAAAUUUCAACACCGGCGCAGAUGCCGGUUACCCGCAGCAAGACGGAAAGACCCCGUGAACCUUCACUAUAACCUGGCAAUGAAUUUUGGCACAUCAUGUGCAGUAUAGGUGGGAGGCGUUGAACCGUAGGCGCUAGCUUACGGGGAGCCAUCGUUGAGAUACCACCCUUGUUGUUUCGAAAUUCUAACUUCAAACCAUGAAUCUGGUUUAGGGACAUUGCCAGGCGGGUAGUUUGACUGGGGCGGUCGCCUCCAAAAAAGUAACGGAGGUGCCCAAAGGUUCCCUCGGCGCGUUUGGAAAUCGCGCUAUGAGUGUAAAGGCAUAAGGGAGCCUGACUGCGAGACAUACAAGUCGAGCAGGUGCGAAAGCAGGGCUUAGUGAUCCGGCGGUUCCGAAUGGAAGGGCCGUCGCUCAACGGAUAAAAGGUACUCCGGGGAUAACAGGCUAGUGAAGCCCAAGAGUUCACAUCGACGGCUUCGCUCGGCACCUCGAUGUCGGCUCGUCGCAUCCUGGGGCUGGAGUCGGUCCCAAGGGUUGGUCUGUUCGCCCAUUAAAGCGGCACGCGAGCUGGGUUUAGAACGUCGCGAGACAGUUCGGUCCCUAUCUGCUGUGGGCGUAGGAGAUUUGAGGGAGGCUGCCCGUAGUACGAGAGGACCCGGGUGGACGAACCUCUGGUGUGCCAGUUGUUUUGCCAAAAGCAUUGCUGGGUAGCUACGUUCGUUAUGGAUAACCGCUGAAAGCAUCUAAGCGGGAAGCCAGUCCCAAGAUUAGAUCUCCCUUCGCGCAAGCGAACUAAAGGCCCCUUGUAGACUACAAGGUUGAUAGGCCAGGUGUGUAAAGACAGUAAUGUCAAAGCUUACUGGUACUAAUAGGCCGUGCGGCUUGGCCAC
This 1116-nucleotide ribosomal RNA is filed under the name bioreactor sludge metagenome. RNAcentral describes it as "bacterial LSU rRNA". It matches the Rfam family "Bacterial large subunit ribosomal RNA", at positions 1815 to 2925 of the family's 2925-position model. The record is from RNAcentral.